AUGGACGAGCCCGGAAGGGUGGGGCUCGCCGCCGGGCUGCUCGACGUGAACCCAGGCCGCGGCCAGGAGAGGUUCGAGAGGGAGUGGGAGCAGAUGGAGGACGAGAUCUACCGCCAGGUGCUCGCCAUCGGCUCCUUCGCGAGGCUGGAUAAUGAUGAGGAUGGACGUAGGGAAUUCGGCCGUCAAACCGCACUGCACACCUAUCUUGGCGACGUUGAUGAUAUACCGGGCAGAAAAGCUACUCUCUUAGAAGCUGGUUCGAUCCUCAGCCUGCCAAUGCUCUUUCUUCACGGUGUCGUCCUGUUUCCUGGAGCUACCUUGCCUCUGAAACUAAUUGAGGCUAGGUUUGUGGCAGCUGUCGAGAAGGCUUUAAGGCGUGAUGAUGCCCCGGGCACAAUAGGCGUGGUUCUCAUGCACGGACGGCCAAAUCAUCGAAACUAUGCUAAUGCUUCAGUUGGAACCACAGCAGAGAUACGGCAACUUGGACGGUCGGAUGAUGGUUCAAUAAAUGUUAAAGCACGUGGUCAGCAACGAUUUCGUCUGAUCCGUUACUGGUCGGAUGUUGAUGGGGUGGUGUGGGGUGAGGUUCAAAUCAUUGAGGAAGAUCCUCCACUAAGAACUCCAAGAGGUGCAUUUGCACAGCUAGCUGCAUCUAGGAGCUGCCGGCUGCAUACUUCUUCACCAGUUAUGAGCUUGGAUGUGCCACCAAUGAAACAACAGGGCCUUAUGGAUUCAGGCCUAGAUUGUGAUACUCCUGCAAGUGAUUCAAGUUCACAGUCUAGCAAUUCAACGAAGCCUUCUGGUCAGUCAGGCGAGAAUACCAACAUGGAUGAGGAGGAUUAUAUUUGCUCGACACCCUCGAGCUCAAGAACAGAUACAAAGCACCAGCACCAGUACAAUGCUGCUAAUUACUCGAAGAAGCCUCUUCAGGCAUCAUUGGCCUUUUGGCCUCAAUGGGCUUAUGAAAUGUAUGACCCAUAUUCACUUGCCUGUAGAGCUGCUGAUUUGUGGAGACUGAUAAUCAAAACGCCAAGCAUUGAUGAGCUUGUAAAAAAGCCAGAUCUUUUGUCAUUUUACAUCGGAAACCAGCUUCCAGUAUCGGAACCUGUGAGACAAAAAUUGCUGGAGAUUAAUGGGGUUUCGUAUCGCCUACGAAGGGAGAUCCAGCUUCUAAAGGCCUGUGAUCUCAUAAAAUGUGGAUACUGCAAGUCUGAAAUAGCAAAGCACAGUGAUGUGGUGGUGAUGUCUAGCGAUGGGCCUCUCGGUACUUACGUCAACAAUCAUGGGUACGUGCAUGCAACGAUUACUGUGAACAAUGCAACGGGGCUUGCUCUCGAGGGGGAACCCACAGAAGAACACAGCUGGUUUCCAGGAUACGCUUGGACUAUCGCGUCGUGCGUGCCCUGCGGUUCCAACAUAGGCUGGCGGUUCAGUACCACCAAGAGGCAUCUGCACCCGAAAUCCUUCUGGGGGAUCCGCAGCUCCCAGAUCGCGGAUGUUGUAGAUGUAGAACAACAGCAGGAGGAAGAAUGA
This 1533-nucleotide ribosomal RNA is filed under the name Triticum aestivum (bread wheat). RNAcentral's name for it is "partial small subunit ribosomal RNA". Lineage: Eukaryota; Viridiplantae; Streptophyta; Magnoliopsida; Poales; Poaceae. The record is from RNAcentral.